RNAcentral lists this transfer RNA (90 nucleotides) under Chloroflexota bacterium. Its description in RNAcentral is "Chloroflexi bacterium tRNA-Ser". It matches the Rfam family "tRNA". From Rfam's summary of the family: Transfer RNA (tRNA) molecules are approximately 80 nucleotides in length. Lineage: Bacteria; Bacillati; Chloroflexota. The record is from RNAcentral.
GGAGGGAUGGCAGAGUGGACGAUUGCGGCGGUCUUGAAAACCGCUGUGCCGGCGACGGUACCGUGGGUUCGAAUCCCACUCCCUCCGCCA